AUGACCCCAACCCCAUGGCCAUCCUGUCCCCAACAAUGUCCCUGACCCCAAAGCUGUCCUGUCCCUAAUGAUGACCCCAACCCCAUGGCCACCCUGUCCCCAAGGAUGUCCCUGACCCCAUGGCCAUCCUGUCCCCAAAGAUCUCCCCGACCCCACAUCCAUCCUGUUCCCAAUGUCCCCAACCCCAUGGCGACCCUGUCCCCAUGAUGACCCCAACCCCAUAGUCACCUUGUCCCUAAUGAAGACCCUGACCCCACAGCCACCCUGUCCCCAAUAUCCCUGACCCCAUGGCCACCCUGUCCCCACGAUGACCCCGACCCCACAGCCAUCCUGUCCCCAAUGUCCCUGACCCCACAGUCGUCCUGUACCUAGUGAUGACCCUGACCCCACAGCCACCCUGUCCCCAAGGAUGUCCCUGACCCCAAAGCUGUCCUGUUCCUAAUGAUGACCCCAACCCCACGGCCACCCUGUCCCCAAGGAUGUCCCUGACCCCAUGGCCAUCCUGUCCCCAUGAUGUCCCUGACCCCACAGCCACCUUGUCCCCAACAAUGUCCCUGACCCCAAAGCCAUCCUAAUGAUGACCCCAACCCCACGGCCAUCCUGUCCCCAAGGAUGUCCCCAGCCCCAUUUCCAUCCUGUCUCCAAUGUCCCCAGCCCCAUGGCCCCACUGUCCCCAGGGAUGUCCCUGACCCCAUGGCCACCCUGUCCCUAAUGAUGUCCCCAACCCCACGGCCACCCUGUCCCCAAUGUCCCCAGCCCCAUGGCCACCCUGUCCCCUUGAUGACCCUGACCCCACAGCCACCCUGUCCCCAAUGUCCCUGACCCCACAGUCAUCCUGUUCCUAAGGAUGACCCCAACCCCAUGGCCACCCUGUCCCCAUGAUGAUCCUGACCUCAUGGCCACCCUGUCCCCAACAAUGUCCCUGACCCCAAAGCCGUCCUGUUCCUAAGGAUGACCCCAACCCCAUGGCCACCCUGUCCCCAUGAUGACCCUGACCCCAUGGCCAUCCUGUCCCCAAUAUCCCCAACCCCACAGUCACCCUGUCUCCAAUGUCCCCAGCCCCAUGGCCACCCUGUCCCCAAUGUCCCCGACCCCACUGUUGUCUUGUCCCUAAUGAUGACCCUGACCCCAUGGCCAUCCUAUCCCCAAUGUCCCCUUGAUGACCCCAACCCUGCAGCCACCCUGUCCCUAAUGAUGACCCCAGCCCCAUGGCCAUCCUGUCCCCAAGGAUGUCCCUGACCCCACAGUCAUCCUGUUCCUAAGGAUGCCCCUGACCCCAUGGCCACCCUGUCCCCAAUGUCCCCAACCCCACAGCCACCCUGUCCCUAAUGUCCCCUUGAUGACCCCAACCUCACAGCCACCCUGUCCCCAACAACGUUCCUGACCCCAAAGCUGUCCUGUUCCUAAUGAUGACCCCAACUCCAUGGCCACCCUGUCCCCAAGGAUAUCCCUAACCCCAUGGCCACCCUGUCCCCAUGAUGACCCCGACCCCACAGCCAUCCUGUCCCCAACAAUGUCCCUGACCCCACAGCCAUCCUGUCCCCAGUGUCCCCAUGAUGUCCCCAACCCCGCAGCCAACCUGUCCCCAACAAUGUCCUGACCCCAUUGCCACCCUGUCCCCAUGAUGACCCCAACCCCACAGUCGUCCUGUCCCCAAUGUCCCCAUGAUGUCCCCAACCCCACAGCCACCCUGUCCCUAAUGAUGACCCCAACCCCGAUGC
RNAcentral lists this long non-coding RNA (1721 nucleotides) under Anas zonorhyncha (Eastern spot-billed duck). RNAcentral's name for it is "lncRNA (ENSAZOG00000003725.1)". The record is from RNAcentral. Lineage: Eukaryota; Metazoa; Chordata; Aves; Anseriformes; Anatidae.